CACCCUCAAAAUCCACAGCGGAUGUGUGCACAUGCCAUGAGACAUGCUCACCUUAACUGAGCAGCCCAUGUGGCAUUCGGGUGACACGUCAGCAGGCUGGACGACAUGUGCUCACAGCGAGACCAGAUUGUGCAAUGUAAGCUUGAUCCUUGUGUAUGUUGUGCGGCGACACCCCCCCUUAAUUGUGGCGGCAAGGUGGCGCUCUUGAGACUGAGGGAGGCAGGCAGGUGGGAAGCCAGACGGGCGGCUGGGUGGGUGAUGGGGGAGAAAAUAUUGAGGGGACUGACCCCCCCAGAAGAAACUUAUUAGGGGCAAGGGACCAUGGCCCCCCUAGUUGGCAUCUAUGCUAAGUUCAUCUGCUCUGCCUAUAUGGUCAAAGGCAGAGAGCAGGAGGCAAGGGUGGUCUUCGGCUCAGUCCCUGCUUCCCACAGGUGUGGGAACAGAAUACUCAACAAUGGUGAUGAUGACGAUGAUAAUAAAUUUUAUUUAUUUAUACCCCGCCCUCCCCGGCCAGAGCCGGGCUCAGGGCAGGUAACACCGGUAAAAUUACAAUAAAAACAUAAUGGGGGGGACAAUUUAAAAUACAGGUUAAAAUCCAAUUUAAAAUUCAGCCUCGUUUUAAAAGUAGCCCAUAGAGCAAGACCAUAAAGGGGGGGGGAGGGCAUAAGGGUCAGACUGAGUCCAAACCGAAGGCCAGGCAGAACAGCUCUGUCUCACAGGCCUUGCGGAAAGAUGUCAAGUCCCGCAGGGCCCUAGUCUCUUGUGACAGAGUGUCCCACCAAGUCGGGGCCAGUACUGAAAAGGCCCUGGCCCUAGUUGAGACCAAUCUAACCACAUUGCGACUUGGGACCUCCAAAAUGUUGUCAUUUGUGGACCUUAAGGUCCUCCGUGGGGCAUACCAGGAGAGGCGGUCCCGUAGGUACGAGGGUCCUAGGUCAAAACCAGCACCUUAAACCUUAAGCUGCUGCCAGAUCCAGCAGGCUCUUCUUGUGUUCUUACAUCAGCCCGUAUUCCCAUCCCCAUCAAAUAACAUACAAGAUGGGUGACACCUGGCUUGAGAGCAGUACAUGUGAAAAGGAUCUAGGAGUCUUGGUUGACUACAAACUUGACAUGAGCCAACAGUGUGAUGCGGCAGCUAAAAAAGCCAAUGCAAUUCUGGGCUGCAUCAAUAGGAGUAUAGCAUCUAGAUCAAGGGAAGUAAUAGUGCCACUGUAUUCUGCUCUGGUCAGACCUCACCUGGAGUACUGUGUCCAGUUCUGGGCACCACAGUUCAAGAAGGGCACUGACAAACUGGAACGUGUCCAGAGGAGGGCAACCAAAAUGGUCAAAGGCCUGGAAACGAUGCCUUAUGAGGAACGGCUAAGGGAGCUGGGCAUGUUUAGCCUGGAGAAGAGGAGGUUAAGGGGUGAUAUGAUAGCCAUGUUCAAAUAUAUAAAAGGAUGUCACAUAGAGGAGGGAGAAAGGUUGUUUUUGCUGCUCCAGAGAAGCGGACACGGAGCAAUGGAUCCAAACUACAAGAAAGAAGAUUCCACCUAAACAUUAGGAAGAACUUCCUGACAGUAAGAGCUGUUUGACAGUGGAAUUUGCUGCCAAGGAGUGUGGUGGAGUCUCCUUCUUUGGAGGUCUUUAAGCAGAGGCUUGACAACCAUAUGUCAGGAGUGCUCUGAUGGUGUUUCCUGCCUGGCAGGGGGUUGGACUCGAUGGCCCUUGUGGUCUCUUCCAACUCUAUGAUUCUAUGAUUCUAUGAACAUCUCACAUCUCAGGUUACAGACGAAGCCGUCUCACCUCUGCAGCUACCCUAUAUUGCGAUCUCAGCUGCAGAUCUUGAGCCACCACUGCUUUCCUGAGGAGACGGAUAUUGUUCUUGGUGACUCAGUUUCGCAUUUUAAUGAUGCUCAGCAGUAAAUCAGCCCUGUUGUGUGAUAGGUCACAUAUACACCCUGAAUGAAUAGAUUGAUCCUGGCAUAUCAUACAAUGAAGCUUUCUAAUGUUUAAUUUUUUAUCAGGUUUUUGAAUACAGCCGUACCUUGGAUCUCAAACGCCUUGGCUCCCAAACAAACUGGCUCCCGAAUGAGCGAAACCCAGAAGUGAGUGUUCCGGUUUUCGAACAAUUUUCAGAAGCCGAACGUCCUGUGGGGAGGUGGAUGCAGUGUGGGGACACACCCCCACCUCAGCAUAAGACACGCCACAGCAUGUCUAACUGCCAUGCUCACUCUCUGACCUUUGCUUCCCUCGCAGGAAGCUUUGCUUAAGUUCCACUUGGCUGGAGCAUGACGAAUGAAGCAGACUUUCGAGUAUCAGGGGAACAUUUGGGGGGAAACACCUGUCUGGCACGGGAAUCGCUAACGCUAGAAAUGUGCCUUGCUGGAAAUAUGUUAAGUUCAGGAUGGUUUCGCUACUGUUUCCAACUGUUGACUUCUGCUAAUAAAAGGAGCCACAGCAGAGCUAGCCGGCAGCUUGCUUGGAGCUUGCUAGCUUGCUUGAUCCUGCACAACUCACAUGCAUCCAACUCCUGUGUCGUCCUCCAUUAUUUCUACAACAUCUGAUGGGGCUUCCGCAGCUUCUGGUUGGCUGUAGGAGUUUCCUGCAGCCAAUCAGAAGCCGCGCUUUGGUUUAUGAAUGUUUUGGAAGUUGAACGGAAUUCCGGAACGGAUUCCGUUUGACUUCCAAGGUAUGACUGUAUUCUGGAAGCCGCCCAGAGUGGCUGGGGCAACCCAGUCAGAUGGGUAGGGUACAAAUAAUAAAAUCACCACCACAACCACCAUUAUUUUAUGGUGGUUCUCCACUAAAGGUCCA
This is a non-coding RNA of Podarcis lilfordi (Lilford's wall lizard), 2796 nucleotides long. NCBI's taxonomy places the organism in Eukaryota, Metazoa, Chordata, Lepidosauria, Squamata, Lacertidae. The record is from the annotation of a GenBank genome assembly.